Non-coding RNA from Acanthosepion pharaonis, 93 nucleotides. The record is from the annotation of a GenBank genome assembly. NCBI's taxonomy places the organism in Eukaryota, Metazoa, Mollusca, Cephalopoda, Sepiida, Sepiidae.
AACACCGGUUUCCGUAUGAUCAUCGAAGUUAAGCAACUUUGACCCUGGUCAGUAACAAGAUGGGUGACCGGAUGGGAAUAACAAGUGCUGUAA